Molecule: ribosomal RNA, 437 nt
Filed under: uncultured Actinomycetales bacterium
Lineage: Bacteria; Bacillati; Actinomycetota; Actinomycetes; Actinomycetales
Description: bacterial SSU rRNA
Rfam family: Bacterial small subunit ribosomal RNA
Source: RNAcentral
CGGGAUGCAGCAGUGGGGAAUAUUGGGCAAUGGAGGGAACUCUGACCCAGCGACGCCGCGUGCGGGAUGAAGGCCUUCGGGUUGUAAACCGCUUUCAGCAAGGAAGAAGCGAAAGUGACGGUACUUGCAGAAGAAGCACCGGCUAACUAUGUGCCAGCAGCCGCGGUAAUACAUAGGGUGCAAGCGUUGUCCGGAAUUAUUGGGCGUAAAGAGUUCGUAGGUGGUUCGUUACGUCGGAUGUGAAAAUCUGGGGCUCAACCCCAGACCUGCAUUCGAUACGGGCGAGCUAGAGUUUGGUAGGGGAGACUGGAAUUCCUGGUGUAGCGGUGGAAUGCGCAGAUAUCAGGAGGAACACCAAUGGCGAAGGCAGGUCUCUGGGCCAAUACUGACACUGAGGAACGAAAGCGUGGGGAGCGAACAGGAUUAGAUACCCUUGU